AUGGCUGUCGUCAGGCUCGUGUCGUGAGAUGUUGGGCUAAGUCCCGCAACGAGCGCAACCCUUAUUCAUUAGUUGCUACGCAAGGGCACUCUAAUGAGACUGCCGGUGACAACCGGAGGAAGUGGGGGAUGACGUCAAGUCCUCAUGGCCCUUAUGGGUAGGGCUUCACACGUCAUACAAUGGUCGGUACAGAGGGUUGCCAAGCCGCGAGGCGGAGCCAAUCCCACAAAGCCGAUCGUAGUCCGGAUUGUUCUCUGCAACUCGAGAGCAUGAAGUCGGAAUCGCUAGUAAUCGCAGGUCAGCAUACUGCGGUGAAUACGUUCCCGGGUCUU
This 332-nucleotide ribosomal RNA is filed under the name uncultured Thiobacillus sp. RNAcentral describes it as "bacterial SSU rRNA". It matches the Rfam family "Bacterial small subunit ribosomal RNA", at positions 1045 to 1382 of the family's 1533-position model. The record is from RNAcentral. Lineage: Bacteria; Pseudomonadati; Pseudomonadota; Betaproteobacteria; Nitrosomonadales; Thiobacillaceae.